AUGGACAGGCUUGGUUCCACUCUCCUGCUGCUGAUGCUCCCUUCCUGGGUUCUGUCCCAGGUCACCCUGAAGGAGUCUGGCCCUGGGCUGCUGAAACCCACCCAGACCCUGUCGCUGACCUGCUCCUUCUCGGGGUUCUCACUGAGCACUAUGAACAUAGGUAUCUCCUGGAUCCGCCAGCCUCCAGGGAAGGCCCUGGAGAGGCUGGCCCUCAUAGAUUGGGAUGAUGAUAAGCAUUACAACCCAUCUCUGAAGAACCGGCUCACAAUCUCCAAAGACACCUCCAGAAACCAAGUGCUUCUAACGCUGACCAACACGGACCCUGCAGACACAGCCAUGUAUUACUGUGCAAGAGCAGCACAGAGACACAGCCCAGGGGACCUUCUGUACAAGAACCCGGGCGGAUUCUCAGCUGUGCUCCCAUCUCUGCAGGAGAGGAGAGUGUGGUGGAGAGAGCAUUUCCUGCCAGGUUCUGGGGUUUCUGCUCUCCACCCUGAAGUCCCACAGCCCUGA
Non-coding RNA from Orycteropus afer afer, 513 nucleotides. NCBI's taxonomy places the organism in Eukaryota, Metazoa, Chordata, Mammalia, Tubulidentata, Orycteropodidae. The record is from the annotation of a RefSeq genome assembly.